GGGGGUGUAGUUAAUAAUAACAUUUAAUUUGCACUUAAAAGGUACUUUGUAGUCACCCUCA
This 61-nucleotide transfer RNA is filed under the name Gorpis humeralis. Its description in RNAcentral is "tRNA-Ala". The record is from RNAcentral. Lineage: Eukaryota; Metazoa; Arthropoda; Insecta; Hemiptera; Nabidae.